UUCCAGACUCCUACGGGAGGCAGCAGUGAGGAAUAUUGGUCAAUGGGCGAGAGCCUGAACCAGCCAAGUCGCGUGAGGGAAGACGGUCCUAUGGAUUGUAAACCUCUUUUGCCGGGGAGCAACGGGGUCCUUGCGAGGGCCCGAUGAGAGUACCCGGAGAAAAAGCAUCGGCUAACUCCGUGCCAGCAGCCGCGGUAAUACGGAGGAUGCGAGCGUUAUCCGGAUUUAUUGGGUUUAAAGGGAGCGUAGGCCGGCUUUUAAGUCAGCUGUGAAAGUCCGCGGCUCAACCGUGGAAUUGCAGUUGAAACUGGAGGCCUUGAGUGCACACAGGGAUGCCGGAAUUCAUGGUGUAGCGGUGAAAUGCUUAGAUAUCAUGAAGAACUCCGAUCGCGAAGGCAAGUGUCCGGGGUGCAACUGACGCUGAGGCUCGAAAGUGCGGGUAUCAAACAGGAUUAGAUACCCUGGUA
RNAcentral lists this ribosomal RNA (467 nucleotides) under uncultured bacterium. Its description in RNAcentral is "bacterial SSU rRNA". It matches the Rfam family "Bacterial small subunit ribosomal RNA", at positions 329 to 792 of the family's 1533-position model. The record is from RNAcentral.